Long non-coding RNA from Panicum virgatum (switchgrass), 1064 nucleotides. RefSeq lists it as uncharacterized. Lineage: Eukaryota; Viridiplantae; Streptophyta; Magnoliopsida; Poales; Poaceae. The transcript is spliced from 2 exons. The record is from RefSeq and is a predicted model, not a curated record.
UGCGCUUGCGAUUUCGUCAAGUUCCUCCACUAGCUACACCCAUCUUGCAACAACCGCAUCCCAAUUUUAUUUGAACUGUGCUAUACUUUGCCAUACUAUGCAUUCCGAUUGUACUGCCUAUUUGAACUGUGCUAUAAUGCAAAGGAAGAAGCUAUCAGGGAUUCAGGGCCUAACAAAUACAUAAAUGGGAAAAUUAUGUAUGUAUUUUCUAAUUUACUUAUAUAUGUAGUUAAGUAGAUUGGUACUUUUAUUGUUGAUAAUUUGAUACCUGCUGCUAUGUUACUGAAUACUCUCAAGUUUUAAUAAUAAAUUGAUUCAUAGUUGGUUUUUUGUGUGCAAAUUCUGGACUUGGAGAAGGAGAACUCGAGAAUGCGGAGGGGCGUCGCCAGGACCGUGGGACGGCGGCGCGACGGGAGGAUGACCGGGUGCGGCGACGCGAGGGAGGACAGGCAUCGCGAGGACCAGGUGACGGCGGCGCAGUGGGACGGGUAACUCGGUGGGGGUGGUGGGCUCGGAACGCGAGGAGGUGGCUGGGGAGGGGCGCACGGUGGCGGGGCGGGUCGGCAUGGCUCUGGCGAGCAAUCCGGCUACCUAUUCUCUAGACUAGAUUUCUGCUACUACCUCUUUUGUGAUUUAGUUUAGCAGGAAACUAAUAUGCUUAUGGCUAUUAUCAAGAUAUAAGGAUAACAGGGAAUUUUUUUCAGUUCUUGCAAGGUUAUUAUUUCUAUUGCGUGUCUAACAUUAUUAUUGGGGUUUGCUUGCACAAAUUCUUGGAACAUCAUUAAAUUAUGAUUAUUUUACAGGUGAUGGCGAGGGUAGUAAUGCACAGCAGCAGAGCAACGGCGGCGAGGGGAAUGCUUCAAUCUAGAGAUCAGGUUUCUGCUUGUACAUGCUUUUGUUGGAGAAUAAUCAAAGUCGUGCCAUGUUGUUGCUUUUGUCAGGCUUGUUUAUGAUAUGUAGUUCUGUUAAGCUGUGUACUUAUCUCUCUCAUUUGAUCAAGUUGACAAAAAGAGAUUGAUGUAACGCACUUGUUUUGGACUAUAGAUCAUGUGUUGGUUUUUGUA